UCGCUUCUGUUGCCUCCGGACUGGAUUC
RNAcentral lists this non-coding RNA (28 nucleotides) under Bombyx mori (domestic silkworm). The record is from RNAcentral. Lineage: Eukaryota; Metazoa; Arthropoda; Insecta; Lepidoptera; Bombycidae.